CCGCACUGUGGGUACUUGCUG
RNAcentral lists this non-coding RNA (21 nucleotides) under Dasypus novemcinctus (nine-banded armadillo). Its record names the gene dno-miR-106b-3p. Lineage: Eukaryota; Metazoa; Chordata; Mammalia; Cingulata; Dasypodidae. RNAcentral also lists the same sequence under 3 other names. The record is from miRBase by way of RNAcentral.